CACGUAGGCACCGAGCGUUGUCCGGAUUUAUUGGGCGUAAAGAGCUCGUAGGCGGUUGAGUAAGUCGGGUGUGAAAACUCUGGGCUUAACCCAGAGCCGCCACUCGAUACUGCUCUGACUUGAGUUCGGUAGGGGAGCAGGGAAUUCCUAGUGUAGCGGUGAAAUGCGCAGAUAUUAGGAGGAACACCGGUGGCGAAGGCGCUGCUCUGGGCCGAUACUGACGCUGAGGAGCGAAAGCGUGGGUAGCAAACAGG
RNAcentral lists this ribosomal RNA (254 nucleotides) under uncultured bacterium. RNAcentral describes it as "partial 16S ribosomal RNA". It matches the Rfam family "Bacterial small subunit ribosomal RNA", at positions 524 to 776 of the family's 1533-position model. The record is from RNAcentral.